UACGGAGGGUGCAAGCAUUAAUCGGAAUUAUUGGGCGUAAAGGGCGCGUAGGUGGUAUGUCAAGUCACAUGUGAAAUUCCAGGGCUCAACCUUGGAGCUGCAUGUGAAACUGAUAUUCUAGAGGUAAGGCGGAGAAAACGGAAUUUCCCAUGUAGCGGUGAAAUGCGUAGAUAUGGGAAGGAACACCGGAGGCGAAGGCGGUUUUCUAGCUUUAACCUGACACUGAGGCGCGAAAGCGAGGGGAGCAAACAGGAUUAGAUACCCCCGUA
Molecule: ribosomal RNA, 269 nt
Filed under: uncultured prokaryote
Description: partial 16S ribosomal RNA
Rfam family: Bacterial small subunit ribosomal RNA
Source: RNAcentral